UUUCCCGAAAGCAAGAUGGCUGCGUGUUUCUGUUGUUUUCGUUGUUGUUGGCCAGGAUCGGGCUUUGGGCAGGGCCACAUCAAGUUACAGGAACUCCCGAUUGUGAAAUUAGACACAACGCAUAUGGGAAAUGAUGUUGUGAUUGUGAAGAGCGGGAAGAGGAUAUGUGGAACAGGAGCCGCACUUGCCAACGCACCCAUCGUACAGAACAAAGCAUACUUUGAAAUCAAAAUACAGAGCUCAGGUGUAUGGGGCGUGGGCUUGGCCACACGGAAGUGUAACAUCAAUGUGGUGCCUCUGGGUGACACAACUGACUCGUGGAUACUGAGGCAUGAUGGGACGCUGUACCACAACAACGAGGAGUUCGCCAAGGUGGCCCAAAUAGCGCAGGAAGGAGACAUCGUGGGCAUCACGUACAACCACAUUGAGAUGAACUUCUACAUCAAUGGGGAUGCUGUCAACGUCCCAUUCACAGGCAUCCGAGGCACAACAUACCCAGUGUUCUAUGUUGAUGAUGGUGCCGUCUUAGAUGUCCAGUUUGAGAAGUUCUACCACCAACCACCAGAAGGCUACGACAGCAUCAUGAUAGAGCAAUCUCUGCUCUGAUUGGUCAGUGUGAGGACUUCUUGACUGUGAUUGGCUGAGAGAGACACUGUGUUUGCUGCUAUGGCAACUAUCACUAUGGUUGCCACAUAUGUUGAUGGGAGGGGAAGGAAUCUAUUUGCCAGGAGAAGCACCCAGAGAUAAUGAAGAUGUCUUGGCACAGGGAGACAGACCGGUUGACUGGAAACAAGCCAGGAUGGCAUCAAUCUCUAACACAUGUUGAACUGCCAACUUCCAAUUUGUGGAACAUUUGUCCAAGACACGACAAGAUCAUUUCCGUAUCAAUAGGUACUCCGUGAACGAAGAACCAGCGCAAAUAUUUAUGAACUUAUUUCUUUAUGAAUUUAUUCUUAAUAUUCAUAUUAAUAUUUUUCUCAUUCAUAAACUGUAGUUCUUUUAAAAUAUAUUACUCAAAGAAGUCAACAUAACAGAGCUGUUAUUGAUAUAUGAAAGAAUCAGGUGUUCUUUGACUUCUUUUGAGUAUUAUAUUUGAACAAUGGUUUUAACGCAUAGAGUGCAAGUCAAACAUAUUACAUGUAUAAUCAUAUUUACUUGGUAAAACAGUUACAGUGAAAUGUUGUGAUGUCAUAAACCUUCAGACGAAAUAGAACCCUUUUGGAAGUUGAAAUAGUAAGUGUCUUGACCCACACUCUCUGAAGGUUAAAGUUCAUUACGUGACCCCUGACCUCCUCUCCAUCUUGGUCAGUGACAUUAAGUUAUUGUGAUUUGGAAAAAAGCCUUGGUCCUGAAAGACACAUGUAUAUAUAUACUGACAUCCUUAGCUGAUGAGCUGGCUUUCAGAUUCAAGAUACUUAUUUUUUAAAUGAAAUUAAAAUUAAAGUUCAGUUUGUUACAACACCGAAAAAUACCUUUGAAGAAAAAAGAUUAAUACAGACAUCCUUAUGAUGUGUCCAGCUUCUGAUGUUUAAAAUGAACAUUCACUGUAACCAAAGGAACAGAUUAUAUUAGCAGCAUAGCCAAACCAAUUUCUGAUAUUGUUUUAAUCCAACUACAUCAAUAUUCUGGAUUUUAGUACCCGUAUAUUCGUGUUUUGGUUUGUAUGGUUUAUUGACCGAGAUGAAUAUCCGGCUUCAAGUUGCUUGUAACUUAGCUUCAAGUUUGUUGGCAUGUUACCCAAAAGCAUGAGAAGGAAUUAUCGAAGUCGGGAAAACUUGUGCAUUCUCUUUUUCUUCAAAUUCGAUACAUUUCAAUAAAACUCACCAAAUAUAUUCAUAUAUUUACAAAUAAUUGUACUUCAUUGUAAAAAGCAUGAUAUUCACUUUUUGGAAAGUUUUAUUCAAUGAAAACCAUUAUGAGAUUGGCAUCAUGAAGAUAAACACAAUAUAGACUUAUUAUUGAUAUUAUUUAUCCACACGUCCAUCUUAUUUUUUCACUUUUAAUUCGGGACCAAAGUAUUUUCUUGUUAGGCCAUUAUUUUUAUAUUUCUGGAUCACAGAUCCGCAGAACCCUUUUUCUUCAAAUUUGAAAAUCAUAAUAAUCCAAAUUUACACAUAUUUGUUUUCUGCCGACACGUCAUACACGUAAAAUUGUUUUGCGAUUACUCAGUGUUUUGAAACCAAAAUCACCCAUAAAACUUGUGAUGCUCUUUUGGACAUUAAUGUUUUGAAAAAUUGUUCAGUUCAUGAGUUGUAGCAAAAUUCCUUGCACAGUAAACCUAGAGUUAUGUCCCUUCACUUUUACACAGAUCUGUAGAAUUAACUCCCUUUGUCUUUGGACAAAAGACAAAGCUUGUAGCAAAUCGGGGCUAAAGAAAUGGAAUUCAUUUAUUUUUUAUUUUCUUAUCCCCUUACUCCUACCCACCAAGUAAUAUAGAAACAAUCUGUCAUCCAGUUUAAAAAAGAAAUUUGAUGUCAACAUUUUUUAUAAAAUCUUAUUCCUUCCUCCAACUUCUGACUUUGACAAAACGAAUCUGUCAUCCAUCAAAUAAAAGAAUAAUGUCCUUAUACAGAGGAGUCAAGCCUAAUAGUUUGCAAAAGUAAAACAAAUGUGAUUUAUUUGAUUAAAUAUGUACUUUUUUAAACAUAAAUGAAAACGUUUGUGAAAUUAACCUCAAUCUUUGACAACCCUUUUAUUUAUCAACUAUUGCCUCCUGUUGUUUGUCAUGCUAACUGAAUAAAAUGUAGGAAAUUAAUUUGGUCUGGAUGAAGAUUAAUAAAAUUUCAUUAAAUUUGGUAGCACACUUUAGGAUAUGAAAAAAAUAGGCUGCCGUCCACAUCAGAUAUAGAAGAAAAUACCCAAGAAACUAUCGGUUUUAUUUUUUCAUUUCGUGAUCAUUUAUGAAUGCUGAAGUACAAGGCAAGUACAAGAUGGUAGUAGUUGUACGAUGUGAUGCUGUCAUUGACUAUUUGUGUCACCAGUUGUAUGCUUGUUGUAAAGCUAGACUGUCUUCAGUCUCUACUCUGUGUUUUGUAUGUACCCUUCAAGUCCAGAUCUGCAUACAGUCACUGUUCAUUGCAUUGAUAACUGUUGAUGAUGUUGGUAGGUUGUAUUUGUGAACUGCAUCUUACCGUCAGCUGAAACUGUCAAUUAUCAGUAAAUUAAAAACUAUGUGUUCAGGGUUACCCAGGUUGAAGAACAGGAGACAAAAUCCAACAUGGUAUUAAGAUUAAAAAAAUAAUUGUCUUGGUUCUCAGGCAUGGCACCAUAAUCAUAAAAUCUGCCGAACUUUUCUCUUUUAUUUUCAUUUUCAAAAUUUAAAAAGAAAUCCUUAUACUUAAAAACCAUGUGAUCCAAUUUAGCAAGCAGUUACUUCCCUUACAUGCUCACUGCUUUACUGUGCAUCUCGUGUUAUGGUCAUGGUGGCAAUAGGAGUUUGUGUGCUUGUUUAUGUAGGGAGGCCCUUUUCCCCAGGGGGAUCAUACACAACUGUUUAUUUGGUUACAUACUUGUUUGAACAAGGCAAAAAAAGCACCGCCAGCCCGCCUGCACUAUAUUUGUAAAAGUCAGUGCCUGGGAACCAAUUUUUUUUUUUUUUUUAAAGACCAACAGAUGAUUUUUUUAAAAUGUUAUGUUGAUUUUUUUCAUUUUCUUUGUCAUGCAUAAUAAAAAGAGCAGUUUUUAUCAUUUUUUUUGUUUUUGUUGUUUUAAAACAAACAGAAGCAAAACAAAAAGGUUGUUGUUGGUUACAUUAGUAACCAUGGUAACAUUAAUGCACAAUGAUAACUGCAUUAAACUGUUUCUUUACAUCUUGCAAAUCUUUCUUGAUUCUAGAAAUAUCGACAAUGGUCUUUUUCUGGUCUUUUUAAUUUGAUUUCUUUGGUAGUUGGAUUAGAAUAGGUCCCCAGGGUUAGAAUAGGUCCCCAGCAAUGUAUGCUGGUCAGAGAGGUGACCAAAUGGAUCAGGUGGUCAGACUAGUGACUGGGUUGAUGAAGUGUCAUCCUACCCAGACAGUUGGGAUUGUUGCUCAAAAUAUCAAUCACUGAAUUGUCUGGUCCAGACUUGAUUAUUUACAGGCCACUGACAUAUUGCUGGAAUAUUGCUGAGUACAAUGUUAAACAACAAACAAGCAAAUUUGUAUUUGCAUAAGUAUUCUGGCGAUAAUAGUGAGUAUGGUUUUACACCACUUUUAGCAAUAUUCCAGCAAUAUCACAGCGAGGGACACCAGGAAUGGGCUUCACACAAUGUACCCAUAUCGGGAAUCGAACCCGGGUCUUCGGCAUUACGAUCGAACGCUUUAAGCACUAGGCUACCCGACCGCCCCGCUGGCGAUAAUACUUUCCUAACUCCUACUUGUAAGAGUUAACUAAAGUGGUCAGGUGGUCAGCCUCUGUGACUUGGCUGACUGCAUGUCAUCGUGACCCAGAUGGUGCUCAUGCUUUCAGUCACUGGUUUACAGGUACAGACUGGAUUAUUUACAGGCUGCAUCGAUAUGCAUGGAAUAUUGCUGAUUGUGCAUUAAUAACAUUCACUCACUCACUCAAAGGUUUAUUACAUGAGAAUCAAAGUCUCUUCUCAUUUUGGAAAAUCUUGUUUAUGGAGACUUGGCACUUCCGUAGAACCAAUCCUUGUCAUGUAUAUAUAAGACACUUUUAAUAUUGCUGUCAUUGAAUAUAAAUGUGUUAAUGAUUAAUGUUUAUUAAGCAGUAGUACCAUGUAUUUAUUUUUUCCCACUAACCGACUGACCCCCAAACCUUCAUGCCAAAUAUAUUUACCAAAUAUUGAGUUUCACAAAUGUAGUUUUGUUGUGACCAUCUCAAGUUUAUUUGUAAACAAAAUUAUUUGAACCAAAAUAUAUAAAUGCAGGGACUUAACAUGGGUGCUUUAAAUGUUUACUAUUGAAAUACAUGUCGAUGGUAAAGGUGUUAAAAGACUUCAGUGAAUGCCCCUAAAACCAUAUUGUUAGUACCGUAUUCGCUGUAAUAGGCACCUGGGAAAAUAGAUAAUUGACAAAAAAAGUGGUGCUUAUUAAACCAUACACAACAAGUUAAAAUAUUGAACAAAUUUGGUUGAAAUGUUGAUGGAAAUUGAACAUUUUAAUGAUAGUUUCUUGGCAGUUAUAUAAAUCUAGAUACACUGCUGUUUUCUGUAAUACAUCUAUAAUAUACACUAGGAAAUACAAAAUGUAUUGUAAAUUUUCGAGCUUACUAUGAAUCACUUAUGACGAUCAUUUACAGACUGAUGUAGUCGGGACACUUAAUACGGACAAUACGGUAAUGAGAGCCCGGCAGAUCCAUGUGUUCAGUGUUUUGUGGGUCAGUCUUCUAUGUAUGUAUCUGUGUUCCCUGUCAUGGAAAACCAUGUCAAGUUGUUGUUAUUUAUUUCUGAAAGUACAUCUACUCUUGUUGUUUUACCUCUGCCCAUGUUACAGUUCAGCUUUCUACAUUGUAAACAAACAUGCAUAUAUGUAGCAAUGUAUUUGAAUAAACAUGGUGAAACUGGAAUUGAAUACUGAAAAACAUGUUAACUCAUCAUAACAUAUUUAUUUUGUUCUUUGGCUUAAGAGAAAGAAAAUGUUUCACGGGCAUCAGUACAUCACUCAAAAAAACAUUUUUAGUUGCCUUUUAAAAACAACAACUCAUAUUUCCUGCGUCCUAUGAAGCAGACUCUAUUAUUCAUUCAAUGAACAUAAUUGCUUCUGUUUGUUAUAAAGAGCUGAAUUCAGUGUGUGCUCAUUCGUGUUUGUUGGUAUUCUUGGUGGUAAAAAGAGUUCAUCUCUCAUCACUUCAUCUUCACGAGGCAAAGGACUUAACUGACUAUAAAAGUCCAGUUCCCACCCUUGCUGAAUUAGGCUGGAAUUUUAAAGGCUCGAUCGUAGCGUCACCAGUGGCUAUUACGAGUUAUGUCCCUUCCACGUCCCUCCUAUUAACCAAUCAGAUUCCAUCGCUCAUAUCGCUUCCAUUUGCCUCAAACAAAAUGGCGGCACCCAGUCAAGAUCUGAUCGAAAAUCAAGAUCUAUUUUGUAAUAAAACGAGUCUUACCCCACGAAGUGCAUUAAAUCACUUGAGCACCUGGAUUAAAAACAUGAAAAUAUUUGCAAAAUAUCUGUCGACGCCUAGUUGGCGGUACACAUUUUUUGCAAAGCCUGCAGUCGACUGCACUUUGAAAUCCAUGUUGUUUACAAUGUCUAGUUCGUUACAAGAUUUUGAUUAGACUAUGCAUAGUCUCAUUAUUCAAGCCAAAAUGUAACCCCGGAAUUCCAGCCUAGUUCAGCAAGGGUGGAACUGGACUUUUAUAGUCAGUUAACUCUCUUGCCUCGGGAAGAUGUCAUCACUUGUGAGAUAAUGUGACUAAGAAACAUUGUUACGUAAUACAUUAGCAUCCUUUUUUUCACAAAAUAUGAAACAUGUUUCGAGAUGUCAACAUGCAUAUUUUGUCAUUAAACGUUCAUUUUACUUACAUUUUCAACAUUUCCUUGCCAGCCAUCUUUCCUCAUUCCACUAACUGGUGAUGAGGCGGUUCUGUUGUCAUGGAAACGACCUUUUUGUUUACAAUGAUGACAAACACUGUGUUUUCUUGUUUGUGCUUGCUAUAGAGCAUUGUAUUCCUGGAACUGAUCUUGUUUGCCAGAUGUGCGAUAUAUAAAAACUCAAAGCCCAUUUCAGUGAUAGAGUAUUGGGGUUAUAAUCAUUGAAAUUGCACGUGGAACGAGAAAGGGGCAUAAAAUAUUUAAUGAUAUGAUAUUCAUGAUUUAGUAAGUUUCUGCUUGAACUAGUCAGAGGUUACAUAUCUGAAUCAAGGCAACCACUUGAAUAAGUGAAUUACAAUUUUGCUGACCCCCCCCCCCCCUGUCUCGGGAUGUGUAUGCCAACAAUGUGAUGUUUUGAACGUUUUGGAAUCCAGUUAUCUCCCUUUGAAGUUGUCUCCCCUUCUUGAUUGUUUAAGUAAUUGUUACUGUCUCUGCUGGUUAUGGUAGAUCUGCACAUCACAUCCUUGAAGCCUUCAAUGAAACAGAUUUUGCCUUCUUCACAUGCUUUGAGAGUAGACUCUCUUCCUUGUUAAUAUUAUUUUAAAGGCAAUAUCAAUAUUCUUGUUUCCCCAAACUGACUGGGCAGGUAGGUAGUAUUUUUCCAUUUUUAAAUUUGUUACAUAUCUGAGAAAGUAAUCCUGAUUCUUAUCUACUUUGUGACCUUUUUUGACAACUGUAUUUCGGGUAUGAGUGAGUUUGGUUUCAGCUGCCUUGAACGGUAUUCCAGUUGUAUCAUAACUGUAAGUGGAGCAGGCCUCAGAUGUUUACCACAUUGAUGAAACCCACAAGCAUGAGUAUGGAGGUGACAAAUCUAGAAACAUAAUCGGGGCAGAAUGGGUUGCGAUCAUAGGUGUCUGGCGUGCCCAAGGGGCACAAUUCUGCACAGUAUUCAACAAAUGCUACCAAGUGCCAUUAAGUGUAGCUAUUGACCUUGACCUUUCCCUACUGACCUCAAACUUGUAGUGUUUGAGUUUACUCUUUCAAUAAAAAAUUAAAAAAUGAAUAUGAAUAAGCUGAUGAGCUAAUUUGUAAAAUGUAUAGGAGUGGGUGCUUGAAUCUGUGUAUGCCCAAUGCUAUCAGUUCCAAAUGACAUUUGGGCGGUCGGGUAGCCUGGUGGUUAAAACGUUCGCUCGUCAUGCCGAAGGUCCAGGUUCGAUUCCCGACGUGUACAAGGUAUGAAGCCCAUUUCUGGUGUCCCCCGCCGUGAGAUUGCUAGAAUACUCACUCACUCACUCACCCAAAUGACAUUGCUGUGCAUCAAAUGACUAUUAAACACCUACUAAUCUGAAUACACUUUUAUUGCCUAAAUAUUAAAGUUUACGUGAAAUCAGCCUGUAUUACACUGUUUUAUAUGGAGUCUGUGUAGGUAAGGGUCAAGGUCGCAUAGAGAUCGUGUAGGUAAGGGUCAAGGCCGCAAGUCUGGUAGGGAAAGGUCUCAUACAGUGUGUAUGGAAGUGUAAAGGUCGCAUGGAUUCUGUAGGGCAGGGUCAAGGUUGUAUGGUCUUGGUCAGGAAGGGUCAAGGUCGUAUCGAGUAGGGAAAGGUCAAGAUUGUUCCAUGGCCCAGAUUAGUUUUAUCAGCUCGGCGCCUGUAUUGUGAUAUCUAUGUUGUGCGAGAAUGUUGUGAAGUCUAUUUUCUGUUAUGUUGGUAAGUUAUUCAGUGGAUUGUGAUAAACAGCUCAAGCUAUGGUACUUCAUCAUUAAGACAUCUGUGAAACCAUCCUUACAAGGCCUCCGAUAAAUAAACACCGAUUUUAUUCUCAGUCAACUUUUAUAACAUAUUCAUUCAAGACAAAUGGCAGAGAUAUCAUGACAAAACUCUCAAAUUUUGAUAGGGCUGUUUUGAGUAUCUGGAAGGGCUUCUUCCUCUAUUGAUGCAUGUCAUCAUGUCCCAAUUGCAUAGAUCGAUGCUCAUGAUGUCUAUCACUGGAUUGUCUGGUCCAGACUCAAUUAUAUACAGACCGCCGUCAUAUAGCUGAAAUAUUGCUGAGCGCGGCGUUAAACAACAAACAUCAAACAUCCUCUAUAGUCCAGUGUCUUCGUACUCCAUUAUGUCCUAUUUUUAGGAUCAUGUCAUUCAAACCGGCUUCAAAAAUGAAGCUGAAGUCGGGAAUGGGUCCUAGGUAUUUAACCUACUAGCAUGGAGAUAUAACACCCUUGAUAAUGCAGGAUGGAUGACUAUGAAGACUGUUGAAUCAGGAAUAGUAUGUGAUGCUCUCAUAGUACGGAACAUUGUAAGCUUCAUGGCAUAUUAUGAUAAAUAUAAGUACACUUUUCCAUAACAUGUCCUCUGGUGUUCAUGAUACUAACAGUAUGAAGUAUAUCGUAUCCCUAUCCAACUUAAAUAUAUGUAGCAAGAACAGUCAGGACAAUAUAUAUACUGAGCAAAAUAAGUUUGGGAUCAUGAAGAUUUGGGGGGAUAUCUUUUCUCGAUUCAUUACAAAAAAUAUUCCCCAAAAUAUUCCUGAUCCCAACUCUUUUUGUUUGUUCAGUAUAUAAUUAUGCUGUCCUGUUUUGAGCCUUAAUCAAUUAAAUAGACAAGAAAAUGAAAUAUGUGUGUUUUUAAUUGAUCAGAUAUCAACCUUUUCCAGAAUCUGUUGUCAUGCUGAGAAUGCAUUAUGCCAAACGAAAAAAAUAUAUUUGUAUUUCAGCUUUUAGUUAUCAUGGACCAAGAGAUGUAGCUGGUUUGUUUUAAAAUUGAAAAUGUUUUUCAUAUUUCCAGUUCCUGUAUGAAUAUUUAUGCUUGUCAAUUUGGCAGGGAAUUCGAUGUUGGUUUUGGCGUGAACUUUGUUUGAGAAACAGUAAAUCUGUAUUCAAGCUUACCACUUUUCCUCCAUUUUGUACAGCUCUGGCUCUGCCAGUAGUGACGGCCUUCAUGUUGCUCUGUGUACACAAACCUCAAUGUAUUGUCUGUAUGUAACAUGUCAAUAAAGUGUUACAGUCA
This 9471-nucleotide unclassified non-coding RNA is filed under the name Haliotis rufescens (red abalone). RNAcentral describes it as "sPRY domain-containing protein 7-like, transcript variant X1". Lineage: Eukaryota; Metazoa; Mollusca; Gastropoda; Lepetellida; Haliotidae. The record is from RNAcentral.